GGCAACCCGCUCGGGUUCCUUUCCUCAUGGUGGAAGGUUUGUUUUUUGCUCUUUGCAAUAAAUCUUGCUACUGCUAACUCUUUGGGUCCACACUGCUUUUAUGAGCUGUAACACUCACCGGGAAGAUCUGCAGCUUCGCUCCUGAGUCAGCGAGACCACGAACCCACCAGAAGGAAGAAACUCUGAACACAUCCGAACAUCAGAAGGAACAAACUCCAGACGCACCACCUUAAGAGCUGUAACACUCACCGCGAGGGUCCACAGCUUUAUUCUUGAAGUCAGUGAGACCAAGAAUCCACCAAUUCCGGACACAAUUAAUGAUGAGAUGAGUGCCACAUGGAUCUGUGCAUGCAGAAAGAUUGUUGCACCGAAGAAGAGGAACUCCAAAUUAAAAAUUUAGGAGUUAUACAGGGACUGCAGCUUCCUUUCUCUUCUCCUGAAAAAAGAAGAGAAACCAUAUUUCCCUAAGACAGAAGGAAGAUAAGAGUAUCACAAGGAUAACCUCUGUGAGUAGAGCAUGGCUUAUCUUCUUGGCCUAUUGAAGAUUUCAUCAAAGGUAUUUAGAUCCUAAAUCAUUGGUGGUAAGUAAUUAACAUUGGCUUUA
RNAcentral lists this long non-coding RNA (604 nucleotides) under Homo sapiens (human). RNAcentral's name for it is "HSALNT0349178". The record is from RNAcentral. Lineage: Eukaryota; Metazoa; Chordata; Mammalia; Primates; Hominidae.